RNAcentral lists this ribosomal RNA (222 nucleotides) under Triticum aestivum (bread wheat). Its description in RNAcentral is "partial small subunit ribosomal RNA". The record is from RNAcentral. Lineage: Eukaryota; Viridiplantae; Streptophyta; Magnoliopsida; Poales; Poaceae.
AUGUCUGCCAUGGAGAUUUUUAGGCAUGUCAGAGAAAUUGAUUGUUAUCUGAAUAUCUUCAUUGCUUAUCGCAUCUUAUUUACUGUGCCUGUGACGGUCGCAUCGCCUGAAGGAAGCUUUUCAAAGCUGAAAUUGUUGAAGAAUUAUUUUGAGGUCAACAAUGACUCAAGAGAGGUUAAAUGGUUUGGCUACAUUAUGCAUCGAGAAGAAAUUAUUGGAUGA